Cyanistes caeruleus (blue tit) is the source of this 469-nucleotide long non-coding RNA. RefSeq lists it as uncharacterized. The record is from RefSeq and is a predicted model, not a curated record. NCBI's taxonomy places the organism in Eukaryota, Metazoa, Chordata, Aves, Passeriformes, Paridae.
GUAAAUUAUGUGCCAGGAAAUGAAUUCCUUACAAUGUCUCUUGCCAGAAGCUAAAUCCUAGUACAUCUCAGACAGUACAGGAUACCACCUAUCUCAGCAUGUGCAAUGCUGUGGACAAAACCAGUAUCAUUUUCUUUGAAGAUAUUUUUUCCCAAAAAUGCAGCAUUUCUAGGACUUCUUGAGCUACAGUUUUCAUCUAAGGCCUCUGAAAUCACACAGCUCUCUGUCCCUGGAGUUACUUAAAGCAACCUGGGCAAGCUUCCAAAUGCUCAUAUAUGUGACCUUUACAAGUAUUCCACAAAACCAGCUCCCAAGUGAAAUAAAUCCAUGAACAUGUGUAGAGAAACUCAGCAGCGGCAUGGAGGCUAAAAGAUAAACUUCUAUCAACUCUGUUGAAUUGUGUCCCUACAAUCAGCUUAGAAGUUUAGUUUAGAGGAUUUUACUUUAACAUAUGUAAUUACAUAAAAUA